This 384-nucleotide ribosomal RNA is filed under the name uncultured bacterium. RNAcentral describes it as "bacterial SSU rRNA". It matches the Rfam family "Bacterial small subunit ribosomal RNA", at positions 29 to 414 of the family's 1533-position model. The record is from RNAcentral.
AUUGAACGCUGGCGGAAUGCUUUACACAUGCAAGUCGAGCGGCAGCGCGGGGGCAACCCUGGCGGCGAGCGGCGAACGGGUGAGUAACAUAUCGGAACGUACCCCGUCGUGGGGGAUAACACAGCGAAAGCUGUGCUAAUACCGCAUACGACCUGAGGGUGAAAGCGGGGGAUCGCAAGACCUCGCGCGAUGGGAGCGGCCGAUAUCGGAUUAGCUUGUUGGUGAGGUAAAGGCUCACCAAGGCGACGAUCUGUAGCUGGUCUGAGAGGACGACCAGCCACACUGGAACUGAGACACGGUCCAGACUCCUACGGGAGGCAGCAGUGGGGAAUUUUGGACAAUGGGGGCAACCCUGAUCCAGCCAUUCCGCGUGAGUGAAGAAGG